AACGAACGCUGGCAGCAUGCCUAACACAUGCAAGUCGAACGAGACCUUCGGGUCUAGUGGCGCACGGGUGCGUAACGCGUGGGAACCUGCCCUUAGGUUCGGAAUAACUCCCCGAAAGGGGUGCUAAUACCGGAUAAUGUCUUCGGACCAAAGAUUUAUCGCCUUUGGAUGGGCCCGCGUUGGAUUAGCUAGUUGGUAGGGUAAAAGCCUACCAAGGCGACGAUCCAUAGCUGGUCUGAGAGGAUGAUCAGCCACACUGGGACUGAGACACGGCCCAGACUCUUACGGGAGGCAGCAGUGGGGAAUAUUGGACAAUGGGCGAAAGCCUGAUCCAGCAAUGCCGCGUGAGUGAUGAAGGCCUUAGGGUUGUAAAGCUCUUUUACCCGGGAUGAUAAUGACAGUACCGGGAGAAUAAGCUCCGGCUAACUCCGUG
This 433-nucleotide ribosomal RNA is filed under the name uncultured bacterium. Its description in RNAcentral is "partial 16S ribosomal RNA". It matches the Rfam family "Bacterial small subunit ribosomal RNA", at positions 29 to 507 of the family's 1533-position model. The record is from RNAcentral.